GCGCAAGCGCUAGUGUCCUUUCCCUAAGCUCAUACUAACACGCCAGUAAUCCGUGGAAUGCGAAGGUAGAAGGUGCUAUUUUUUUUUCGAAGGGACGCAGCAGACGAAGAAGCAUCGACAUUUGAGAAUCAAUGAUCGAUCAAAGAAAGAAGAUUGUCGUAGAAAAGAAGAACAUGGAUGAAGCAGGAUGAAGACGAGGCAUUCGAAUAUCGAGAUCAUAUAUGGAUCAGGCAGCUGCAUGAAAGUUACGGAGCGAAACUCGAUUAGGGACGUCUGGUGGAUGGCCGCGGGUCAAACCGUAGAAACGGUGGCAACUCGAGAAGUAACGAUGUUGGUACCGAUUCGACAACGGCCGAGGCUCAGCCGCAGUCGCAGUCGCAGUCGCAGUCCCAGUCACAGUCACAGUCACAGUCACAGUCACAGUCACAGU
This is a long non-coding RNA of Eufriesea mexicana, 430 nucleotides long. RefSeq lists it as uncharacterized. NCBI's taxonomy places the organism in Eukaryota, Metazoa, Arthropoda, Insecta, Hymenoptera, Apidae. The record is from RefSeq and is a predicted model, not a curated record. The transcript is spliced from 3 exons.